Molecule: long non-coding RNA, 694 nt
Filed under: Equus asinus (donkey)
Lineage: Eukaryota; Metazoa; Chordata; Mammalia; Perissodactyla; Equidae
Description: lncRNA (ENSEASG00005030349.1)
Source: RNAcentral
GGCGGGCGCUGCGGGCCGGGCCCAGGUAGGCUCCGCGGGCGGCCCUGGCGGGAGCUCGGCCGGGAGGGGACGCCUGCGCACGCCGGGCCCCGCGGCGCCCCGUCGUUCCCCGGCGCUUGCUUUUUAGCGACCCUCCAACGCCUCGACUCUCCGCGAUGCCGCCGAAGCAAAGUAAAAGAAAACGGAAAACGUCUGGUUUCUGGGCGUUCUCUAACAGCCGGACCGCUCACAUUCUGGAAAACCUCUGUCAACACGCUUCCACCUCCGCAAAGGAAGCCCAUUUGGAAGAAAACUCUAACACAAGUAGACUUCACUUCGUUUUAGUUUGGCAUUUUAGAGAGAAUUUCCGAUUUAUUUUUGGUUUUAAGUCUGAUGUGAGGGAAGGAUAAAGAGAGCAUACUCCCACCUCCUCCGACUUCCAGUGUGCGUCUAAGAACAAUUGGAGAGGUAAUAGAACUGUUAAGCAGGCCAUGUCUUGCAAGUCAAGGUUCGGUUCAUUUUUCUUUGCAUAUUCCAAGAAAUCAUAAAUCUUGCUGAAGCCAGUUGUCUUGCCAUACACCAAAAUGGUCUCUGAAUCCAAAUACAAAGAUGACAUGUGGUGUGGUGUUGUACAUUUUGGCUCAUUUUCCCGGAAUUUCUGUGUUAGGUAUUGUUGCCUUCCCAGGGUGAAGGACAUUGAUAACCAUUUGUUUCC